GGCCCUUAUGGUCCAGGGCUACACACGUGUUACAAUGGCCGGUACAGAGGGCAGCUACCUGGUGACAGGAUGCUAAUCUCGAAAACCGGUCUCAGUUCGGAUCGAAGUCUGCAACUCGACUUCGUGAAGCUGGAUUCGCUAGUAAUCGCGCAUCAGCCAUGGCGCGGUGAAUACGUUCCCGGGCCUU
This 187-nucleotide ribosomal RNA is filed under the name uncultured Sphingobacteriales bacterium. RNAcentral describes it as "partial 16S ribosomal RNA". It matches the Rfam family "Bacterial small subunit ribosomal RNA", at positions 1197 to 1382 of the family's 1533-position model. Lineage: Bacteria; Pseudomonadati; Bacteroidota; Sphingobacteriia; Sphingobacteriales. The record is from RNAcentral.